CCUGGCUAGUCUCCUGUGACAAGCCCAUGCUGUGAGAGGCCAAAGUUGAGUGUGAGUCACACAGACAGAAGUCCUCUCGGCUGCCACCCACUCAGGACCCCACAGCACUCCCUGGCUGGCCCACUGUGCUGGAGAAUGUGAACAGAAACCUUGGCAGCUCCUGAAGGAGCUGCAUGUCUCGGGGAAACCAGCAUCCUGCCUCCCCACACCAACUUCAUCACCCCGAGGAUGGUUCACGGACUCGGUCAGGAGCCCAGCUUUGACAACCAAGCGCUGCAGACUAAGGGGGCCUCGAGGGCGACUCACCGGAAGCAGACCCGGAAGCAGAUGGAGCAAUGGGAGGAGCUCUGAGACGGGAGCCAGUGACCUGCGCCUUCUACCCUCUCCGGGCCUUAUCCCGGGGCUCUAACAGGAAGCCAUGGGAUGAGCGGAGCUCUAACCACCAGGCUUUACAAAGAAAGAGAAAAGGAGAGCAAUGGGAGUUCCAGGCACUGGGCAGUGCUGCUCAAGCUGGUCUCCAUCUUCAGCAGGGGCUCAGAGCCGGCUGCCAUCAAGGAGACCCGCUAUCUCCCGAGCACCCUCCAGUGGCUGGCCGUGCUCUCUGUGGGGUGCUCAAAGGAUCAGCAGUUAAAGCAAGUGAUGAUGAAUGCGAUGAAUGCUCGGACAGGUCUCAAGGUCAUCGUUAUCCUAAUUGAAAGUGUUACACACUGAUUCCACCAUGAAUGCUCUGUGAGUGGCAGCAGAGACUGAGGCUGACAUGGCAUGACUGACUCAUUCUUCACUUGGUCAAACUUUAAUCAGCCUUCUACGGCCCUUUCAUGAACUUCGUGUCAAAUCUAUUUUUACCAAGAAACUUCCAGUGUGUGAUCGCCUUCCAAGUCAGAUCAGGGUACCCCACUGUCUGUCACCUUUCACGGAGUGCCUGAUUCCCCUUGGUCUGUCUUCAGAAAGAAUCUUGAAAGGCCAAGCACUUCUGAUAUUCAGAACGAACAAAUGAGAUGAAUGUUAAAAGCUCCGAGUCUCCUUACCUCUGAAAUUACUGUUAGAACAUUUCCUUUUACAUUCCUGAAGUUUCCAUGGAAGCUUGGGUUCCACCAGAUGAUCUUUGCUUAGAGGUAAUGUAGAUUUCAUUUCUGGGGGUUGGAAGUGAUUUUUGACGGUACUUUGGAUCCUCUUGUUUUUCAUUUCUUUGUGUCGGAGGAAAGACACAGAAACUUUGGAGCAAAGCUCUUGGAAAAUGUGCCACUAUUGUCCGUCACUGACAGGCUUGCCUUCCCCCAGGGGCUUCCCUAUCCCAGAGCACAAAGCAGCACCACGUCCUAUUUUUCUGUUAUGCUUUCACGAGGGGAGCCCAGAACACGGAUGUUGAGGGCACAAGAGACAGAAUUCGAAUGAGCAAUUUCAGUUCAACUGUGUUACUACUGUGACUCAGUUUCAUCUGGCCGGGUGCAGAGCUGUGGGCUUGAGUCAGCAGCCGCCAGUCCAAAAACUCCCUCCCCACCUACCGCACUUGUUAGGUGGUGGGGAGUAUGGAAGAAUACCCUUUCCUGGAUGGACAUGCGCUGAGAACAAGGGAAAUGUCUCCACUUCUACUAUAAUGGCAUCAUAACCUCUCACAUGUUUGAACACUUGGUCCCUGGCACAUGGCACUGUUUGGGGAGGCUAUGGCACUUUUAGGAAGGGGUGCAUGGCUGGGGACAGGCUCGGAGGUUUUAUGCCUGGUCUGUUUUCCCUCUGCUUACUGUGUACUGAUGGAAUCUCAUCAGCCAGAUUCCUGCUCUGUGCCUUCCCUGCCUGUUGCUGGGCCAGAUGAGCUCCAGUCUUCUGGAACUAUAAGACAAAAUCAACCCUUUCUCUUCUAGGUUGCUUUUGUUGUUGUUGUUGCUGGUUUUUUAAAAAUUUUUUUCUAAGUUGCUUUUGGCCAGGAUAUUUUAUCACGGCAACAAAAAAACUGCUAGAAAACCCAACUGCACUCUAAUCUGAUAAUAUGGAACGCUAGAACCCUAAGAAAGAGAAUGAAGUUGACCACACAGGUCAGUUAGCAUGAGUGCACAUGGGAAGAUGGGCCAAGGCAGGAGGAAGAGCCUCA
Long non-coding RNA from Nannospalax galili (Upper Galilee mountains blind mole rat), 2089 nucleotides. RefSeq lists it as uncharacterized. The record is from RefSeq and is a predicted model, not a curated record. The transcript is spliced from 4 exons. Lineage: Eukaryota; Metazoa; Chordata; Mammalia; Rodentia; Spalacidae.